This 71-nucleotide transfer RNA is filed under the name Polyangiaceae bacterium LLY-WYZ-15_(1-7). RNAcentral's name for it is "tRNA-Asn". It matches the Rfam family "tRNA". From Rfam's summary of the family: Transfer RNA (tRNA) molecules are approximately 80 nucleotides in length. Their secondary structure includes four short double-helical elements and three loops (D, anti-codon, and T loops). The record is from RNAcentral. Lineage: Bacteria; Pseudomonadati; Myxococcota; Polyangiales; Polyangiaceae.
GGGGAGGUAGCUCAGGGAGAGCGCCCCGGCCGUUAACCGGGGUUGUUGCGGUUCGACUCCGCACCUCCCCG